RNAcentral lists this long non-coding RNA (885 nucleotides) under Sorghum bicolor (sorghum). RNAcentral describes it as "long non-coding RNA (SBIC_LNC010375)". Lineage: Eukaryota; Viridiplantae; Streptophyta; Magnoliopsida; Poales; Poaceae. The record is from RNAcentral.
AAAAUAUGUAGUAUUUUUGGCAUGAGGCAUAGUGACAUUGCCUUCUCUCUCACCCUACUCUAUUAAGGUUUUGAUAUCUGGAGCUCAUAGGUGGGAGACAGCUAAUACAUACUUACAAGACAUUUAUUGCAUAGUCAAACCAUAGAUCCAGAGAAACAAGUCAAUAAGUCAAAUCAAGAUGUGCAUGUGUGGCGAAUGAAUGGUGUAUGGUGAUGAUGGUGACAAUGGUGAAAACAAUGGUGAAAGUCUAAUUCUACUUUUGCUCUUUUGAGGGCAUACAUACCUUUCUUGCACUUUGAAGCUUUUUGAGGGGGAAUGAGAUGCUCUAUAUUUUCUUUUUCUUUUCUCUCAGGUGGGUAUCUUGUACCCCUAAUUCUACUGUCGGACACUUGUCCAUUUUUACCUCUCGUCUCACUUUUUCUUUUCUUCGAGGUUUCGGGUACUUGCCCCUUUUUAUUUCCUCGUAUUCACCCUUUUUUUCAGAGCAGUCACCCUCUUGGAAUAAUGUAGCAAGUGGUAGUAACCAAAAUAUCUCGAGCAUUUAUUUCAUGGGGAAUAAUAGGGAUAGGAUAAUAUUUUUGGCUAUUCUCUCCCGGAUAGGAGUAGAAUAAUUUUGGGUGAAUCUGGAGAUGGAAAUGAGUGGAUGUAUGUGGAUGCGUACUUCCGGAGUAGAGGCAGCAUGUAUAAGUGAACGUGCAACUGAAUCUUGAUUUUAACCGCAUGACAAGCUCCUAAGGGUCUACACAGCUUGACCACUCAAUGCUCAUAAGCAGUAAAAAGUAAAUGUAUGGUUCAUAGUCUAAUAAGCAUGUAUAUAUGGCUGUGGUAGGAUUUUAAACUCUCAUCAUACAGGAACUCAUCAUGCAACAUUUUAAAGAUUUUCAA